This 1103-nucleotide small RNA is filed under the name Acarospora peliocypha. RNAcentral's name for it is "eukaryotic LSU rRNA". The stretch from base 507 to 1103 matches the Rfam family "Eukaryotic large subunit ribosomal RNA", at positions 1 to 601 of the family's 3401-position model. The record is from RNAcentral. Lineage: Eukaryota; Fungi; Ascomycota; Lecanoromycetes; Acarosporales; Acarosporaceae.
GUGACCUGCGGAGGAUCAUUACAGAGUUAGGGUCUUUUCGGGCCCGAUCUCCAACCCUAUGUGUACCUACCUUUGUUGCUUUGGCGGGCCCGUUGGGGUGAUCCACCGGCGGCCUUUGGCUCCCGAGUGCCCGUCAGAGACCCAUCAAAACCUGUUAACUGUGUCGUCUGAGUACCAACAUAUAAUAAUGAAAACUUUCAACAACGGAUCUCUUGGUUCUGGCAUCGAUGAAGAACGCAGCGAAAUGCGAAAAGUAAUGUGAAUUGCAGAAUUCAGUGAAUCAUCGAAUCUUUGAACGCACAUUGCGCCCCUCGGUAUUCCGGGGGGCAUGCCUGUUCGAGCGUCAUUACACCACUCAAGCUCGGCUUGGUGUUGGGCCCUCGUCCCCCGUGGACGUGCCCGAAAAUCAGUGGCGGUGCAGCCCGGCUUCAAGCGGUAUUAGUUUAUCUUCGCUUUGGAAGCUCCGGGUCUGGGCCUGCCAGACAACCCCACCAUUCUAUCAAGGUUGACCUCGGAUCAGGUAGGGAUACCCGCUGAACUUAAGCAUAUCAAUAAGCGGAGGAAAAGAAACCAACAGGGAUUGCCUCAGUAACGGCGAGUGAAGCGGCAACAGCUCAAAUUUGAAAUCUGGCUCUUUCAGGGUCCGAGUUGUAAUUUGCAGAGGAUGCUUCGGGUUCGGCUUCGGUCUAAGUUCCUUGGAACAGGACGUCAUAGAGGGUGAGAAUCCCGUAUGUGACCGGCCGCCACGCCCGUGUGAAGCUCCUUCGACGAGUCGAGUUGUUUGGGAAUGCAGCUCAAAAUGGGUGGUAAAUUUCAUCUAAAGCUAAAUAUUGGCCAGAGACCGAUAGCGCACAAGUAGAGUGAUCGAAAGAUGAAAAGCACUUUGGAAAGAGAGUCAAACAGUACGUGAAAUUGUUGAAAGGGAAGCGCUUGCAACCAGACUUGCCCGCGGGUGAUCAGCCGGUAUUCUUACUGGUGCACUCGCCCGUGGUCAGGCCAGCAUCGGUUUGGGCGGCUGGAUAAAGUUCACCGGAACGUAGCUCCCCUCGGGGAGUGUUAUAGCCGGAGGUGCAAUGCAGCCCGCCCGGACCGAGGACCGCGCU